This is a long non-coding RNA of Trifolium pratense (red clover), 713 nucleotides long. RefSeq lists it as uncharacterized. NCBI's taxonomy places the organism in Eukaryota, Viridiplantae, Streptophyta, Magnoliopsida, Fabales, Fabaceae. The record is from RefSeq and is a predicted model, not a curated record. The transcript is spliced from 3 exons.
GAAGACUUUUAAGUUUGAUGUUGUGUUUGGCCCUCAAGUUGAACAAGAUAUCUUUGAGGACACUGUACCAUUUGCAACAUGUAUGCAUUUUAAAACUCUCAUUUUUGUUUUCAAUUUCACUUAAGUUUUGUUAUGUGGCUACAAAAUUCGAUUUUGAGUGAAUUUAAUUUGUAAAGUUGUUCUUACUUGAAAGUUGAAAGUAGACCAAAUUCCAAGUGUUGCAGCAUAAGCUGACAGGCGGCUAAGCAUGCACAUGCAUCAGUUGUGCAGUCACCACUAGAUGACGAUGCUUUAACACGAUGGCAGAGGGAUGUAGGCCAUGAUGAUGCAGGGCAGCAGGAUGCAGGCCAUCAAAAAGACUCACCUAAUGUUGCUGACUCCAAGUAUUCAUAUGGUGUGAUCAGCUUGAAGUAGUUGAAAGAAGUUUUGGUGCUUGCUAUGAAGCCUUAAGCAAUUUUCAAGUUGGAGAUAUGCAUUAGUUUUAUUGGAAUUUUGUCACUUUUGCCAAAGCACAGAUUGUGGUGGCUUUGCUGGUGUUGAGAAAAUGUGAGGAAUGGGAGAUGCUAUAGUUUUUUUUUUUGCAUCAUGCUGGUGUAUUGACCAGUUUCUUGAUUUGGUUUUUAAGUUUAUUUACUCUUUCGAAUGUAUCGAUUAUACAAUGUACUUCUCUAUCCUAUUAUCAAUGAUUAUAUGAAUGAUUUUUAAUGUCAUCA